This 498-nucleotide ribosomal RNA is filed under the name uncultured bacterium. RNAcentral's name for it is "partial 16S ribosomal RNA". It matches the Rfam family "Bacterial small subunit ribosomal RNA", at positions 30 to 523 of the family's 1533-position model. The record is from RNAcentral.
AUUGAACGCUGGCGGCAUGCCUUACACAUGCAAGUCGAACGGUAACAGGUCUUCGGAUGCUGACGAGUGGCGAACGGGUGAGUAAUACAUCGGAACGUGCCUAGUAGUGGGGGAUAACUACUCGAAAGAGUGGCUAAUACCGCAUGAGAUCUACGGAUGAAAGCAGGGGAUCGCAAGACCUUGUGCUACUAGAGCGGCCGAUGGCAGAUUAGGUAGGUGGUGGGAUAAAAGCUUACCAAGCCGACGGUCUGUAGCUGGUCUGAGAGGACGAUCAGCCACACUGGGACUGAGACAAGGCCCAGAGUCCUACGGGAGGCAGCAGUGGGGAAUUUUGGACAAUGGGCGAAAGCCUGAUCCAGCAAUGCCGCGUGCAGGAUGAAGGCCUUCGGGUUGUAAACUGCUUUUGUACGGAACGAGAAGCCCCGGGUUAAUACCCUGGGGUCAUGACGGUACCGUAAGAAUAAGCACCGGCUAACUACGUGCCAGCCGCCGCGGUAA